CCUUGGGAGAUCUUUACCGAGACUCCAGAGGGAUCUAGAAUUCUAAGCAUACUUUGCAGGUAGCCAGGAUGGUCACUGUAAGAGAAUGGUUUUUCUCGUCAUUCCUGUCACAUAUUGAAUGAGUGAUCACAUUUCUACCUUAGAAAUGGAUUACUUCCCCUCUGGUGGGUUUGUUUGCUCAGGUUCCCUUUAACCAGAGGGUAUGCUUGACAUUUUCACUAUUUGUUGGAGCCUUCUUUAAGCAAAAGAAUAAAAAUUUAUGAUAUGAAUUGGGUACAAAAUUGUGCGUUUA
RNAcentral lists this long non-coding RNA (292 nucleotides) under Pan troglodytes (chimpanzee). Its description in RNAcentral is "long non-coding RNA NONPTRT014044". The record is from RNAcentral. Lineage: Eukaryota; Metazoa; Chordata; Mammalia; Primates; Hominidae.